RNAcentral lists this unclassified non-coding RNA (253 nucleotides) under uncultured Roseiflexaceae bacterium. RNAcentral describes it as "contains 16S-23S intergenic spacer region". It matches the Rfam family "Bacterial small subunit ribosomal RNA", at positions 524 to 776 of the family's 1533-position model. The record is from RNAcentral. Lineage: Bacteria; Bacillati; Chloroflexota; Chloroflexia; Chloroflexales; Roseiflexaceae.
UACAGAGGGGGCAAGCGUUGUCCGGAUUUACUGGGCGUAAAGCGCAUGUAGGUGGUACGGCAAGUGGGGUGUGAAACCAGGCGGCUUAACCGCCUGACGCCAUCCCAAACUGCCGCACUCGAGUCACGCAGAGGUCCGUGGAAUUGCCGGUGUAGUGGUGAAAUGCGUAGAGAUCGGCAGGAACACCAAGGGGGAAGCCAGCGGACUGGGCGUGUACUGACACUGAGAUGCGACAGCGUGGGGAGCGAACCGG